AGAAAAAGAAAAAAGAAAAAUUCUGUCAUCUGCAGCAACAUGGAGGAUAUUAUGUUAAGUGAAAUAGGUCAGGAACAGAAAGUUGAACACCACAUGUACUCAUAUGUGGAAGCUAAAAAUGUUGAUCUCAUAGAAGUAAAGAGUAGAACAGAGUAUAAUUAAGGCUGG
This is a long non-coding RNA of Sapajus apella (tufted capuchin), 168 nucleotides long. RefSeq lists it as uncharacterized. The transcript has 3 exons. The record is from RefSeq and is a predicted model, not a curated record. NCBI's taxonomy places the organism in Eukaryota, Metazoa, Chordata, Mammalia, Primates, Cebidae.